This 90-nucleotide unclassified non-coding RNA is filed under the name Pseudomonas helmanticensis. Lineage: Bacteria; Pseudomonadati; Pseudomonadota; Gammaproteobacteria; Pseudomonadales; Pseudomonadaceae. The record is from RNAcentral.
UGUGGGAGCGAGCCUGCUCGCGAUGAGGGCGGCAGAUUCAGCAUUUAUGUGUGCUGAAGCACCGCUAUCGCGAGCAGGCUCGCUCCCACA